GGGCCAUUAGCUCAACGGAUAGAGCACAAGUUUCCUAAACUUGGAAUGGCGGUUCGAUUCCACCAUGGCCUA
RNAcentral lists this transfer RNA (72 nucleotides) under Caudoviricetes sp. Its description in RNAcentral is "tRNA-Arg". It matches the Rfam family "tRNA". Rfam says of the family: Transfer RNA (tRNA) molecules are approximately 80 nucleotides in length. Their secondary structure includes four short double-helical elements and three loops (D, anti-codon, and T loops). Further hydrogen bonds mediate the characteristic L-shaped molecular structure. tRNAs have two regions of fundamental functional importance: the anti-codon, which is responsible for specific mRNA codon recognition, and the 3' end, to which the tRNAs corresponding amino acid is attached (by aminoacyl-tRNA synthetases). tRNAs cope with the degeneracy of the genetic code in two manners: having more than one tRNA (with a specific anti-codon) for a particular amino acid; and 'wobble' base-pairing, i.e. permitting non-standard base-pairing at the 3rd anti-codon position. Lineage: Duplodnaviria; Heunggongvirae; Uroviricota; Caudoviricetes. The record is from RNAcentral.